GUAUAGGCAAACCUGUUGAAAAGCAGGGACGCAAAACUAUAAGGGCUAAGGUGGAAAAUUCACUAUGCUAGCUAGUUGCCA
RNAcentral lists this non-coding RNA (81 nucleotides) under Robertmurraya massiliosenegalensis. Its description in RNAcentral is "Cyclic di-GMP-I riboswitch". It matches the Rfam family "c-di-GMP-I riboswitch aptamer". From Rfam's summary of the family: GEMM was predicted in a large-scale screen for bacterial structured RNA regulatory elements. Genes associated with GEMM are involved in a diverse array of functions, including chemotaxis regulation, signal transduction, secretion and chitin. Lineage: Bacteria; Bacillati; Bacillota; Bacilli; Caryophanales; Bacillaceae. The record is from RNAcentral.